GAUGAACGCUGGCGGCGUGCCUAGUACAUGCAAGUCGAGCGAACGGACGAGAAGCUUGCUUCUCUGAUGUUAGCGGCGGACGGGUGAGUAACACGUGGAUAACCUACCUAUAAGACUGGGAUAACUUCGGGAAACCGGAGCUAAUACCGGAUAAUAUUUUGAACCGCAUGGUUCGAAAGUGAAAGACGGUCUUGCUGUCACUUAUAGAUGGAUCCGCGCUGCAUUAGCUAGUUGGUAAGGUAACGGCUUACCAAGGCAACGAUGCAUAGCCGACCUGAGAGGGUGAUCGGCCACACUGGAACUGAGACACGGUCCAGACUCCUACGGGAGGCAGCAGUAGGGAAUCUUCCGCAAUGGGCGAAAGCCUGACGGAGCAACGCCGCGUGAGUGAUGAAGGUCUUCGGAUCGUAAAACUCUGUUAUUAGGGAAGAACAUAUGUGUAAGUAACUGUGCACAUCUUGACGGUACCUAAUCAGAAAGCCACGGCUAACUACGUG
This 497-nucleotide ribosomal RNA is filed under the name uncultured bacterium. RNAcentral's name for it is "partial 16S ribosomal RNA". It matches the Rfam family "Bacterial small subunit ribosomal RNA", at positions 28 to 507 of the family's 1533-position model. The record is from RNAcentral.